Molecule: transfer RNA, 74 nt
Filed under: Kouleothrix aurantiaca
Lineage: Bacteria; Bacillati; Chloroflexota; Chloroflexia; Chloroflexales; Roseiflexaceae
Source: Rfam by way of RNAcentral
CGGGACGUGGUGCAGCCUGGAAGCAUUCCGGCGUCGGAAGCCGGAGGUCGCACGUUCAAAUCGUGCCGUCCCGA